Molecule: non-coding RNA, 790 nt
Organism: Schizosaccharomyces pombe (fission yeast)
Lineage: Eukaryota; Fungi; Ascomycota; Schizosaccharomycetes; Schizosaccharomycetales; Schizosaccharomycetaceae
Source: the annotation of a GenBank genome assembly
CUUAAAGGCAUUGCUUCCAAAAAAAUAAAAUAUUUUUCCUUAAAAUGCCUUUCAGAGCAGUCAAUAAAAAAAUAAAAAAUCGAACAAAGGAACAUGAAAAGAAGCACGAAAAAAACCUAUAUAAUUUGCUUCAUUUGAAGUGUAGAGAGUACUUUACUUUUAGUGAAGAAUCGUUAACAAUUCCUAUUGUAAGUUUGUUAGCUUCUAUUUAUGAUGUCACUGUAAUUAAAUUGAUCUGUCCAAUAAUAUUGAUUGAAUUAACCUUGAUCAUAUAAAGUUGAAAAUGCGGAGAAGAUCGUGAAGAACCAGAGCUUUUGUGAGCUUGGUAAGGUUAACCGGGGAACCUUCGCAACAUGAACGAACUUUAAUAGCAUUCUGCGAUUUAAAUCUUAUUUGCUGUUUUUUAAAAAAGCAAAUUAUAACUUAAAAUAUUAAGACCCCCAUGUGACAAAACAGUUCUGGCCUUUUAAAAAAGACGGUUUUUAGUAUCUUAAGCAAGAAGAACUUGUUGAAAUUUGCUUGAGAAAAUGUGCGUUACAAGCAUUUUUAUUAACUGAAAAUGUUCAGUUGUUCUUAAUAAGCAUUAAAUCUAAUUUGUGUUACUGUUUGUUUUAUGAAAAUGAAUUCAAUCAUGUAUUUACUUUAAAGUUUUUCACUACUCCACGAACAGGCCAGCCAACCCCUCAUCGUUUCGAACCCCUCUAUUUCGAAAGGGUAAUUAUCAACAAAGGAAUCAAAAUUUUAUUUAUAUACAUACUCUGUUCACGAAUGAAAUUGUCUUUAUUUUCUG